GCAGGAAGCGUCCCCACCAGCCGAGCACGUCCUCAGCACGUCCUCCUCCUUCCAGCCAGCGCGUGUUCAAGCCGGAGUCAACACGAUCAUCUCUCCUAGACUGGAACCCCAAAUUGUGCAAGACCCAGCUGUCUUUCCGGGCAGCUCCUAGCUCAUGAGCCCACGUGCCCCUGUGUCCUCGUUGGCCUGUGACCCACCCGCUCCUGGGUUCAAUAACAGCGCCCCCUGCCGGCCCCUGCACAGUCCUGGACGCGGGAACAGCAUCCCAGAGCUGAGGCGGCCUGGAGGAAACCGCUCUCCUUACUGGGGUGCCAGGAGGGUUCCUGGAGCAGAUGGCAUUUUACCCAGGGCCUGAGGGAUGAGCUGACGGCGGCCUGGGGCAGCAGGGAUCACUGGAGGCCAGGGGCUCCACACACCCCAUUUCUCAUGAGCUCUGCAAGGCCUGGUGAUGCCCGGCAGCGACACCCACACGUGUGCAGGUCGGCUGGACUGAACGGUGAACACAGCCUCAGCGUCUGCCAUAGCCAGUAAGGGCGGGGACCUGCAGCCUUCUGAUUUUAAGAUUGUACUUUUUUUAAGCACCAAAGGAGGCAAGAAAAGCUUCA
This is a long non-coding RNA of Lemur catta (Ring-tailed lemur), 605 nucleotides long. RefSeq lists it as uncharacterized. The record is from RefSeq and is a predicted model, not a curated record. The transcript is spliced from 5 exons. NCBI's taxonomy places the organism in Eukaryota, Metazoa, Chordata, Mammalia, Primates, Lemuridae.